This 439-nucleotide ribosomal RNA is filed under the name uncultured bacterium. RNAcentral's name for it is "partial 16S ribosomal RNA". It matches the Rfam family "Bacterial small subunit ribosomal RNA", at positions 339 to 795 of the family's 1533-position model. The record is from RNAcentral.
CUACGGGUGGCACCAGUGGGGAAUAUUGCACAAUGGAGGAAACUCUGAUGCAGCAACGCCGCGUGGAGGAUGACACUUUUCGGAGCGUAAACUCCUUUUAUAUAGGAAGAAGAUGACGGUACUAUAUGAAUAAGCACCGGCUAACUCCGUGCCAGCAGCCGCGGUAAUACGGAGGGCGCAAGCGUUACUCGGAAUCACUGGGCGUAAAGAGCGUGUAGGCGGAUUAAAAAGUCAGAAGUGAAAUCCUAUAGCUUAACUAUAGAACUGCUUCUGAAACUCUUAAUCUAGAAUAUGGGAGAGGUAGAUGGAAUUUCUGGUGUAGGGGUAAAAUCCGUAGAGAUCAGAAGGAAUACCGAUUGCGAAGGCGAUCUACUAGAACAUUAUUGACGCUGAGACGCGAAAGCGUGGGGAGCAAACAGGAUUAGAUACCCGGGUAGUC